GUGGUUUUCUGGAGAGUCCACACUGUAGACUGGAGACUCUGAGAUUGAGUUCCUGCAGUUUGUCAGAGAUCAGCUGUGCUUCUCUGGCCUCAGCUCUGAAGUCCAACCCCUCCCAUCUGAGACACCUGUACCUGUGGGGCAACAAGCUGCAGGACUCAGGAGUGAAGGAUCUGUCUGAGAGUCCAAACUGUAGACUGGAGACUCUGAGAUGGAGGCUGUUCUAAAGGAGAGAGUGAAGAGGACGGUGUGUGUGUUGAGAGAG
This is a long non-coding RNA of Toxotes jaculatrix (banded archerfish), 262 nucleotides long. RefSeq lists it as uncharacterized. The record is from RefSeq and is a predicted model, not a curated record. Lineage: Eukaryota; Metazoa; Chordata; Actinopteri; Toxotidae. The transcript has 3 exons.